This 428-nucleotide ribosomal RNA is filed under the name uncultured Gammaproteobacteria bacterium. RNAcentral describes it as "bacterial SSU rRNA". It matches the Rfam family "Bacterial small subunit ribosomal RNA", at positions 958 to 1385 of the family's 1533-position model. Lineage: Bacteria; Pseudomonadati; Pseudomonadota; Gammaproteobacteria. The record is from RNAcentral.
AACGCGAAGAACCUUACCUGCCCUUGACAUGUCUGGAAGUCUGCAGAGAUGCAGACGUGCCUUCGGGAACCAGAACACAGGUGCUGCAUGGCUGUCGUCAGCUCGUGUCGUGAGAUGUUGGGUUAAGUCCCGUAACGAGCGCAACCCUUGUCUUUAGUUACCAGCACGUAAUGGUGGGAACUCUAAAGAGACUGCCGGUGACAAACCGGAGGAAGGUGGGGAUGACGUCAAGUCCUCAUGGCCCUUAUGGGCAGGGCUACACACGUGCUACAAUGGUCGGUACAGAGAGUUGCCAACCCGCGAGGGGGAGCUAAUCUCACAAAACCGAUCUCAGUCCGGAUUGAGGUCUGCAACUCGACCCCAUGAAGCUGGAAUCGCUAGUAAUCGUGGAUCAGAACGCCACGGUGAAUACGUUCCCGGGCCUUGUA